This 253-nucleotide ribosomal RNA is filed under the name uncultured bacterium. RNAcentral describes it as "partial 16S ribosomal RNA". It matches the Rfam family "Bacterial small subunit ribosomal RNA", at positions 524 to 776 of the family's 1533-position model. The record is from RNAcentral.
UACGAAGGGGGCUAGCGUUGUUCGGAUUCACUGGGCUUAAAGGGCGCGUAGGCGGGUCAUCAAGUCUGGGGUGAAAUCCUUCGGCUCAACCGGAGAAGUGCCCCCGAUACUGGUGGUCUGGAGGGAGGUAGGGGUGUGUGGAACUUCCGGUGGAGCGGUGAAAUGCGUAGAUAUCGGAAGGAACGCCGGUGGCGAAAGCGACGCACUGGACCUCUUCUGACGCUGAGGCGCGAAAGCCAGGGGAGCAAACGGG